GACGAACGCUGGCGGCGUGCCUAAAACAUGCAAGUCGAACGGUGUAGCAAUACACAGUGGCGAACGGCGGAGUAAUACAUGAACAACGUGCCCGGAAGACUGGGAUAGUCAGGGGAAACCCUGGGUAAUACCGGAUGUGGCCGAUCUUUGGCAUCUUAGAUCGAUUAAAUGGUUUUUCGCUUCCGGAGCGGUUCAUGGCCUAUCAGGUAGUUGGUGAGGUAACGGCUCACCAAGCCGACGACGGGUAGCGGGUCUGAGAGGAUGAUCCGCUCGAGUGGGACUGAGACACGGCCCACACACCUACGGGUGGCAGCAGUUGGGAAUCUUGCACAAUGGGGGAAACCCUGAUGCAGCGACGCCGCGUGGAGGAUGAAGGAUCUAGGUCUGUAAACUCCUUUUUCAGGGAAAGACUUAGGACGGUACCCUGAGAAUAAGGACCGGCUAACUACGUGCCAGCCGCCGCGGUAAUU
This 470-nucleotide ribosomal RNA is filed under the name uncultured bacterium. RNAcentral's name for it is "bacterial SSU rRNA". It matches the Rfam family "Bacterial small subunit ribosomal RNA", at positions 28 to 525 of the family's 1533-position model. The record is from RNAcentral.